RNAcentral lists this ribosomal RNA (456 nucleotides) under uncultured bacterium. RNAcentral describes it as "bacterial SSU rRNA". It matches the Rfam family "Bacterial small subunit ribosomal RNA", at positions 30 to 479 of the family's 1533-position model. The record is from RNAcentral.
AUUGAACGCUGGCGGCAGGCCUAACACAUGCAAGUCGAGCGGUAGAGAGGUGCUUGCAUCUCUUGAGAGCGGCGGACGGGUGAGUAAUGCCUAGGAAUCUGCCUAGUGGUGGGGGAUAACGUUCGGAAACGGACGCUAAUACCGCAUACGUCCUACGGGAGAAAGCGGGGGAUCUUCGGACCUCGCGCCAUUAGAUGAGCCUAGGUCGGAUUAGCUAGUUGGUGAGGUAAUGGCUCACCAAGGCGACGAUCCGUAACUGGUCUGAGAGGAUGAUCAGUCACACUGGAACUGAGACACGGUCCAGACUCCUACGGGAGGCAGCAGUGGGGGAAUAUUGGACGAAUGGGCGAAAGCCUGAUCCAGCCAUGCCGCGUGUGUGAAGAAGGUCUUCGGAUUGUAAAGCACUUAAGUUGGGAGGAAGGGCAGUAAGUUAAUACCUUGCUGUUUGACGUUACC